RNAcentral lists this small RNA (1750 nucleotides) under Pongo abelii (Sumatran orangutan). RNAcentral's name for it is "retained intron". Lineage: Eukaryota; Metazoa; Chordata; Mammalia; Primates; Hominidae. The record is from RNAcentral.
UAUCUUCUUAGUAGAUUCAUAUUGUAAGGGUCUCAGAGGGGGUGGGGGGGUUGGCAAAAUCCUGGAGCCAGAAGAAAGGACAGCAGCAUUGAUCAAUCUUACAGCUAACAUGUUGUACCUGGAAAACAAUGCCCAGACUCAAUUUAGUGAGCCACAGUACACGAACCUGGGGCUCCUGAACAGCAUGGACCAGCAGAUUCAGAACGGCUCCUCGUCCACCAGUCCCUAUAACACAGACCACGCGCAGAACAGCGUCACGGCGCCCUCGCCCUACGCGCAGCCCAGCUCCACCUUCGAUGCCCUCUCGCCGUCACCCGCCAUCCCCUCCAACACCGACUACCCAGGCCCGCACAGUUUCGACGUGUCCUUCCAGCAGUCGAGCACCGCCAAGUCGGCCACCUGGACGUAUUCCACUGAACUGAAGAAACUCUACUGCCAAAUUGCAAAGACAUGCCCCAUCCAGAUCAAGGUGAUGACCCCGCCUCCUCAGGGAGCUGUUAUCCGCGCCAUGCCUGUCUACAAAAAAGCUGAGCACGUCACUGAGGUAGUGAAGCGAUGCCCCAACCAUGAGCUGAGCCGUGAAUUCAACGAGGGACAGAUUGCCCCUCCUAGUCAUUUGAUUCGAGUAGAGGGGAACAGCCAUGCCCAGUAUGUAGAAGACCCCAUCACAGGAAGACAGAGUGUGCUGGUACCUUAUGAGCCACCCCAGGUUGGCACUGAAUUCACGACAGUCUUGUACAAUUUCAUGUGUAACAGCAGUUGUGUUGGAGGGAUGAACCGCCGUCCAAUUUUAAUCAUUGUUACUCUGGAAACCAGAGAUGGGCAAGUCCUGGGCCGACGCUGCUUUGAGGCCCGGAUCUGUGCUUGCCCAGGAAGAGACAGGAAGGCGGAUGAAGAUAGCAUCAGAAAGCAGCAAGUUUCGGACAGUACAAAGAACGGUGAUGGUACGAAGCGCCCGUUUCGUCAGAACACACAUGGUAUCCAGAUGACAUCCAUCAAGAAACGAAGAUCCCCAGAUGAUGAACUGUUAUACUUACCAGUGAGGGGCCGUGAGACUUAUGAAAUGCUGUUGAAGAUCAAAGAGUCCCUGGAACUCAUGCAGUACCUUCCUCAGCACACAAUCGAAACGUACAGGCAACAGCAACAGCAGCAGCACCAGCACUUACUUCAGAAACAGUGAGUGUAUCAACGUGUCAUUUUAGGAGGCAUGAGUGAGGGUGACUUUAUUUGAAUCAGCAAUAGGGUGAUUGAUGAGCAAUGUGGAACAUAAUGGGAGAUAGCAGAUUGUCAUAGAUUCAGAUGACCUGGUGCGGCAACCCUCUUUCAGUUGCAACCUUUUGUAUGUGUCUUAUUAUAACCUGCCCUUCGGAAUUCCACUUAUGUUCUGAAAUUAAAUACAAACCAUUUCUGGUGAAUUACAAAGAAAUUCACACUAACAGUUCUCUUCUCUAUAUGCCUGAUCCAUACACACUAAGUACACACUUUAUUUGGUAGUAAUGUGUAUAUUUGAAAACAUGAAAUCUUUUCUCAUCCCAAUGGAUUGUCUUGUAAAUCUCCUGGGAUGCACACUAUCCACUUUUGGGAGUAACAUUGUAGACCAGGGAUAGCAAAUAGGCUUUACUAUAAUAUAAAGUGACUUGUUUGAAUGCUGUGGUGAGAAGAAUUCUGAGACCUAGUGCAUGAUAAGUGGGGAAAUAUCUGGGUGCAGAAGGAUAAGGUAGCCUCAUGUUGCCGUAUUUUAGCAUCUCUG